UGUGUAGGCGGCUCCUUAAGUUUGGUGUGAAAUCUCCCGGCUCAACUGGGAGGGUGCGCCGAAUACUGAAGGGCUAGAGUGCGGGAGAGGAGAGUGGAAUUCCUGGUGUAGCGGUGAAAUGCGUAGAUAUCAGGAGGAACACCGGUGGUGUAGACGGCUCUCUGGACCGUAACUGACGCUGAGACACGAAAGCGUGGGUAGCAAACAGGAUUAGAUACCCUGGUAGUCCACGCCCUAAACGAUGCAUAUUUGGUGUGGGUCAUUCAGUUGAUCCGUGCCGGAGCUAACGCGUUAAAUAUGCCGCCUGGGGAGUACAGUCGCAAGGCUGAA
RNAcentral lists this ribosomal RNA (330 nucleotides) under uncultured bacterium. RNAcentral describes it as "bacterial SSU rRNA". It matches the Rfam family "Bacterial small subunit ribosomal RNA", at positions 568 to 898 of the family's 1533-position model. The record is from RNAcentral.